AGUGAACGCUGGCGGCAGGCUUAACACAUGCAAGUCGAGCGGGGUGAUGGUGCUUGCACUAUCACUUAGCGGCGGACGGGUGAGUAAUGCUUAGGAGUCUGCCUAUUAGUGGGGGACAACAUUUCGAAGUGGAUUCUAAUACCGCCUACGUCCUACGGGAGUAAGCAGGGGCUCCCUUGUGCCCUUGCGCUAAUAGAUGAGCCUCAGUCGGAUUAGCUGGUUGGUGGGGUAAAGGCCUACCAAGGCGACGAUCUGUAGCGGGUCUGGGAGGAUGAUCCGCCACACUGGGACGGAGACACGGCCCAGACUCCUACGGGAGGCAGCAGUGGGGAAUAUUGGACGAUGGGGGGAACCCUGAUCCAGCCAUGCCGCGUGUGUGAAGAAGGCCUUAUGGUUGUAAAGCACUUUAAGCGAGGAGGAGGCUCUUUUGGUUAAUACCCAAGAUGAGUGGACGUUACUCGCAGAAUAAGCACCGGCUAACUCUGUGCCAGCAGCCGCCGUAA
RNAcentral lists this ribosomal RNA (503 nucleotides) under uncultured bacterium. RNAcentral describes it as "partial 16S ribosomal RNA". It matches the Rfam family "Bacterial small subunit ribosomal RNA", at positions 29 to 523 of the family's 1533-position model. The record is from RNAcentral.